GAAAGCAGGCGAGGUGAUCGCUUGAGGAAAGUCCGGGCUCCCCAAUGGCCAGGCUUGCUGGGUAACGCCCAGUGCGGGUGACCGUGAGGAGAGUGCCACAGAAACACACCGCCGAUGGCCGGGGGCCAGCCCCCAGCACAGGCAAGGGUGCAAAGGUGCGGUAAGAGCGCACCAGCAGCAUCGAGAGGUGCUGGCUCGGUAAACCCCGGCCGGGAGCAAGGCCCAGGGACAAGGGUUGGCCAUGACACCCGUCCCGCUUAACGCGCGCCGCUCGAGGCCGCCGGUAACGGCGGUCCCAGACAGAUGAUCACCCCCCAGCCCGGCUGCGGCCGGAUCCUGGGAGAACAGAACCCGGCUUACGUCCUGCUUUCACCC
RNAcentral lists this RNase P RNA (375 nucleotides) under Synechococcaceae bacterium WB9_2_112. RNAcentral describes it as "RNase P RNA component class A". It matches the Rfam family "Bacterial RNase P class A". Rfam says of the family: Ribonuclease P (RNase P) is a ubiquitous endoribonuclease, found in archaea, bacteria and eukarya as well as chloroplasts and mitochondria. The record is from RNAcentral. Lineage: Bacteria; Bacillati; Cyanobacteriota; Cyanophyceae; Synechococcales; Synechococcaceae.